This 1261-nucleotide long non-coding RNA is filed under the name Parus major (Great Tit). RNAcentral describes it as "lncRNA (ENSPMJG00000004436.1)". The record is from RNAcentral. Lineage: Eukaryota; Metazoa; Chordata; Aves; Passeriformes; Paridae.
NNNNNNNNNNNNNNNNNNNNNNNGGGGGUCCCAGGGGGAUUUGGGGUCCCCCCCGUACCUGUGUGGGGGUCUCCUCCCCCGGCGGGGGGGCGCAGGCGCCGGGCCCAGCUCUUGAGGCGCCGCCCCCAACCCUUGCGGGGGCUGCGCAGGCGGGGACAGAGCCCCAGCGGGAACGGGAGACCCCCGGGAGGGGCGGGGGGCACGGCCUGUGGGAAUAUGGGAAUGGGAAUGGGAACGGGAGACCCCCGGGAGGGGCGGGGGGCACGGCCUGCGGGAAUAUGGGAAUGUGGGAAUGGGAAUGGGAUUGGGAACGGGAGACCCCCGGGAGGGGCGGGGGGCACGGCCUGCGGGAACACGGGAAUGUGGGAAUGGGAUUGGGAUUGGGGGAUUGGGAUUGGGAAUGGGGGAUUGGGAAUGGGAGACCCCCGGGAGGGGCAGGGGGCACGGCCUGCGGGAAUAUGGGAAUGGGAUUGGGAUUGGGGGAUUGGGAACGGGAGACCCCCAGGAGGGGUUGGGGGCACGGCCUGCGGGAACACGGGAAUGGGAUUGGGAAUGGGAUUGGGAAUGGGGGAUUGGGAAUGGGGGAAUGGGAACGGGAGACCCCCGGGAGGGGUUGGGGGCACGGCCUGUGGGAACACGGGAAUGGGAUUGAGGGAUUGGGAAUGGGAAUGUGGGAUUGUGGAUAGGACGGGGACACGAAUGGGAAUGGGAACAGGGACAGGAAUGGGGUCAGGAAUGGGGGAAUGGGAAUGUGGGAUUGGGAAUGGGAAUGUGGGAUUGUGGAUGGGAUGGGGACAGGAAUGGGAACAGGGACAGGAAAGGGAAUGGGAACAGAAAUGGGAACGGGGUCAGGAAUGGGGGAAUGGGAAUGGGAAUGUGGGAUUGUGGAUAGGAUGGGGAUGGGGAUGGGAUGGGGACAGGAAUGGGAACAGGGACAGGAAUGGGAACAGGGACAGGAAUGGGGUCAGGGUACCCCAGGGUACCCCAGGGUCAGCGGGGUCUCAGGUUUGGGGUCACCAAGGUUCUGGGACUGGGGGGACACCAGGGCUGGGAUCAGCAGGGUCUUGGGGGUUUGGGGACGGUGGCCCCUGGUCCUCGAGGGCCACUGGGGUGGGGGACACUCACCUCCGCUCCCGGGGGUCCCUCCUGUCCCCAGGCCCGGGUGACAAACGGCCCCGGUCCCUGGGGGUCACCGGGCUCUGGGGUCACGUCGGGCCCCGGGGGCUCUGGGGUCACGUCGGGCCCCGGGGGCUCUGGGGUC